GCAGAUUUUGGAUUAGCCAAGAUGUUGGUCAAGCAAGGAGAGCCGGACACUAUGUCAGGAGUUGAAGGCUCUUAUGGAUAUAUUGGCCCCGGUAAGACCAUCCAAGGCUUUUCUGUCCACAUGUUCUCAUUUCCAUAAUUUAUUGAUAAUUUUUAUCAAAUAAUUCUCGUAUGCUUGGAUGACAGAGUAUGCUUAUACAACAAAGGUGAAGGAGAAGAUCGAUGUAUAUAGCUUUAGAGUAGUUCUUCUUGAGCUGGUGACGAGGAGAGAACCCAAUAGCGAGCACAUGUGCCUUGUAGAAUGGGCAUGGGAUCAGUUUAGAGAAGGGAAAACCAUUGAGGAAGUGGUGGAUGAGGAGAUCAAGGAACAAUGUGACAAAGCACAAGUGACCACUCUCUUCAAUCUAGGCCUCAUGUGUAUUACCACAUUACCAUCCACUAGGCCAACAAUGAAGGAGGUUUUGGAAAUUCUUCGACAGUGUAGUCCUCAUGAGGACCAUGGAAGAAAGAAAAAGGACCAUGAAGCUGCACCCGAACAUACAUUGAGAUGUAAAGUCCAGCAACAUCUUACUAGACGCUGAGUUCAGCGCGAAAAUUGUAGAUUUUGGAUUAGCCAAGAUGUUGGUCAAGCAAGGAGAGUCGGACACCAUGUCAGGAGUUGAAGGCUCUUACGGAUAUAUUGCCCCCGGUAAGACCAUCCAAGGCCUUCCUGUCCACAUGUUCUCAUUUCCAUAAUUUAUCGAUAAUUUUUAUCAAAUAAUUCUCGUAUGCUUGGAUGACAGAGUAUGCUUAUACAACAAAGGUGAACGAGAAUAUCGAUGUAUAUAGCUUUGGAGUAGUUCUGCUAGAGCUGGUGAUGGGGAGAGAACCCAACAACGAGCACAUGUGCCUUGUAGAAUGGGCAUGAGAUCAGUUUAGAGAAGAGAAAACCAUUGAGGAAGUGGUGGAUGAGGAGAUCAAGGAACAAUGUGACAAAGCACAAGUGACCACUCUCUUCAAUCUAGGCCUCAUGUGCACUACCACAUUACCAUCCACUAGGCCAACAAUGAAGGAGGUUUUGGAAAUUCUUCGAUAGUGCAGUCCUUAGG
This 1087-nucleotide long non-coding RNA is filed under the name Vitis vinifera (wine grape). Its description in RNAcentral is "long non-coding RNA (VVIN_LNC000898)". The record is from RNAcentral. Lineage: Eukaryota; Viridiplantae; Streptophyta; Magnoliopsida; Vitales; Vitaceae.